AGAAAAAUAUGUUCCAUUCAUAAAAACUGGAACCAUACAGAGAAGAUCAGUGUGGCUUCUGCACAAGGAUGGAGUGCAAAUUCGUGAAGCCUUUCCUAUUAAA
Molecule: small nuclear RNA, 103 nt
Organism: Suricata suricatta (meerkat)
Lineage: Eukaryota; Metazoa; Chordata; Mammalia; Carnivora; Herpestidae
Source: Ensembl